RNAcentral lists this non-coding RNA (499 nucleotides) under uncultured Glomus. RNAcentral's name for it is "SSU rRNA". It matches the Rfam family "Eukaryotic small subunit ribosomal RNA", at positions 591 to 1092 of the family's 1831-position model. RNAcentral also lists the same sequence under 1 other name. The record is from RNAcentral. Lineage: Eukaryota; Fungi; Glomeromycota; Glomeromycetes; Glomerales; Glomeraceae.
CCAAUAGCGUAUAUUAAAGUUGUUGCAGUUAAAAAGCUCGUAGUUGAAUUUCGGGAUCAAAGGAUCGGUCAUGCCUUGGUAUGUACUGGUUUUAUUGGUUCUCACCUUCUAAAGAACCAUAAUGUCAUUCAUUUGAUGUUAUGGGGAAUUAGGACUGUUACCUUGAAAAAAUUAGAGUGUUUAAAGCAGGCUUACGCUUGAAUACAUUAGCAUGGAAUAAUGAAAUAGGACAUCAGAUUCUAUUUUGUUGGUUUCUAGGAUCGAUGUAAUGAUUAAUAGGGAUAGUUGGGGGCAUUAGUAUUCAAUUGUCAGAGGUGAAAUUCUUGGAUUUAUUGAAGACUAACUACUGCGAAAGCAUUUGCCAAGGAUGUUUUCAUUAAUCAAGAACGAAAGUUAGGGGAUCGAAGACGAUCAGAUACCGUCGUAGUCUUAACCAUAAACUAUGCCGACUAGGGAUCGGAUGAUGUUAAUUUUAUAAUGACUCAUUCGGCACCUUACG